This 90-nucleotide transfer RNA is filed under the name Staphylococcus gallinarum. Its description in RNAcentral is "tRNA-Ser(gga)". It matches the Rfam family "tRNA". Rfam says of the family: Transfer RNA (tRNA) molecules are approximately 80 nucleotides in length. Their secondary structure includes four short double-helical elements and three loops (D, anti-codon, and T loops). The record is from RNAcentral. Lineage: Bacteria; Bacillati; Bacillota; Bacilli; Caryophanales; Staphylococcaceae.
UGGAGAGUUGUCCGAGUUGGCGAAGGAGCACGCCUGGAAAGUGUGUAGGCGCCACAAGCGUCUCGAGGGUUCGAAUCCCUCACUCUCCGU